GAUGAAGAACGUAGCGAAAUGCGAUAAGUAAUGUGAAUUGCAGAAUUCAGUGAAUCAUCGAAUCUUUGAACGCACCUUGCACCCUUUGGUAUUCCGAAGGGUAUGCUCGUUUGAGUGUCAUUGUACUCUCACACUUCUAAUUCCUUUCGGGAUUGGGAGCGGUGGACUUGGGUGUUGCUGCUUUAGUUGUGGCUCACCUCAAAUAAGUUAGUGCAACUCUUGGUUGGACAUAGUACGGCGUGCUAAGUGUCUUCGCCGGCGCCUCUGUAAGGAGGGUGGCCGAUCGGGAGCUCUGUGCUUCAAACCGUCUUCGGACAAUCUUUGACAACUUGACCUCAAAUCGAGUAGGACUACCCGCUGAACUUAAGCAUAUCAAUAAGCGGAGGA
This 387-nucleotide unclassified non-coding RNA is filed under the name soil metagenome. RNAcentral's name for it is "partial contains 5.8S ribosomal RNA, internal transcribed spacer 2, and large subunit ribosomal RNA". The stretch from base 1 to 120 matches the Rfam family "5.8S ribosomal RNA", at positions 35 to 154 of the family's 154-position model. The record is from RNAcentral.